CGCGUAGGCGGUAAUGUAAGUCAGACGUGAAAUCCUUCGGCUCAACUGAAGAACUGCGUCUGAAACUGCAUGACUAGAGUGCAGAAGAGGGAAACGGAAUUCCAGGUGUAGAGGUGAAAUUCGUAGAUAUCUGGAGGAACACCGGUGGCGAAGGCGGUUUCCUGGGCUGACACUGACACUGAGGCGCGAAAGCGUGGGUAGCAAACAGGAUUAGAUACCCUGGUAGUCCACGCUGUAAACGGUGAGUGCUGGGUGUGGGAGGUGUAAUGCCUUCUGUGCCGAAGCUAACGCGUUAAGCACUCCGCCUGGGGAGUACGGCCGCAAGGUUGAA
RNAcentral lists this ribosomal RNA (331 nucleotides) under uncultured bacterium. RNAcentral's name for it is "bacterial SSU rRNA". It matches the Rfam family "Bacterial small subunit ribosomal RNA", at positions 568 to 898 of the family's 1533-position model. The record is from RNAcentral.